Non-coding RNA from Glossina brevipalpis, 46 nucleotides. Lineage: Eukaryota; Metazoa; Arthropoda; Insecta; Diptera; Glossinidae. The record is from Rfam.
UAUACGGAUUUAUUAGAAUCCACCUACAUACCUAGCAACAUAUAAU